AAGGAAUAUUGGACAAUGGGCGAAAGCCUGAUCCAGCCAUUCCGCGUGUAGGAUGACGGCCCUCUGGGUUGUAAACUACUUUUAUUUGGGAAGAAACCCUGGGAUUAUCCCGGGCUGAC
RNAcentral lists this ribosomal RNA (119 nucleotides) under uncultured bacterium. Its description in RNAcentral is "partial 16S ribosomal RNA". It matches the Rfam family "Bacterial small subunit ribosomal RNA", at positions 356 to 473 of the family's 1533-position model. The record is from RNAcentral.